CAGUAGAAGGCUCAGUUUCUCUGCUCAUCACACGGCCUUCGGCACUGUAGCUUUGGGUGGUGGGCUGCAGAUUAAUUUUGUAACCACCUUAAGAAAAAUACGGAACUCUAACUCCUUGCCACUCAAGAAAUGUCCUCCCUUUCAGAAUAUGCCUUCCGCAUGUCUCGUCUCAGUGCCCGGCUAUUUGGUGAAGUCACCAGGCCUACUAAUUCCAAGUCUAUGAAAGUGGUGAAACUGUUUAGUGAACUGCCCUUGGCCAAGAAGAAGGAGACUUAUGAUUGGUAUCCAAAUCACCACACUUACACUGAACUCAUGCAGACGCUCCGAUUUCUUGGACUCUACAGGUAAUGACAAACACAAAGAGGAACCUAUGAGAGACUUUUUUUCAGUAGAUCAGAAAAGGAAAAAAAUUAGCCUUUCUAUCCUUGUAGUUUUGUUUUUAUAAUAGAGCUCAGGUAGUUCAAAAGGUACAGUUUGCAGGAGAAAGGCUUCUUUCAAAAUACCCAUAAUGGAGAGACCAAAAAAAAAAGGAAA
Molecule: small RNA, 534 nt
Filed under: Pongo abelii (Sumatran orangutan)
Lineage: Eukaryota; Metazoa; Chordata; Mammalia; Primates; Hominidae
Description: retained intron
Source: RNAcentral